CACCACUACCAGCCCCAGGCCUACCAGCCGGCCUAUAAGGAGCGGGAGCGGGAGAGGUCCAGGGACCGGGACCGGGAACUGUCCAGGGACCGGGAGAGGGACAAGGAGAGGGAGGGCUACAUGAGGAGGGCCGAGCAGACCGCUGCUAACGCCUCUGCGGCCGACGGCGCUCCCCAGCAGGGGGCGCAGACGCAGCCGCCGCAGAGACCCUCUUUCCUCCGGAUGGAGAGUCAAGCCGAUGCUUAUAUCCUGUCGCUCACCCCUCCCUCUCCGCCACCGACCGGUACGCAGCAGACGUCGAACACUGGCGGCGGCACCGGGAGUGGACUCAUGGUUCUUCCCCCGCCUGCGCCCUCGGUCGAUGCAGACGAUGAGUUUGUGUACGCAGACCCCCUCCCGCCGCCGCUGGAGUUCGCCAACAGCUUCGACAGGGGGAUGCCAGGAUAUUCACAACACCGCAUGCUUUCUAACAGCCUGGCGUCGCGCCAGCAGCAGGUCCCGCCCCCUCCACCUCCUCCUCCGCCCCCGCCGCCGCCUCCCCCGGCUCAGAAGGAGCAGUUCGCCGGCGGGUUUCCGGCCCACACGCCCCUGACCUCCCCUCAGGCCGGCGACUCCACCGCGUCCAGCCUCACGUCGUACGACAGUGAGGUUGCCAACCUGACUCAGUCCGUCCCUUCCCCGUCGCAAACAUCGCCCAACCCCCCGCCCCCUCCCUCGCCCUCCACCCUGCAGCCCACCUCCGGCCCCCCGCCUCCACCCUCGGUCUCGCCCCCGCCGCCUCCGGGCUCCUACCACAGACCGUUCUCCAUCUCCCACCAUCUUUACAACAGCACUCACGCCUCAGGGCGCUCCUCUCCCACGCCGCCUCCGCAUUCCGUCGCCCCUCCCCCAGCCUACCGUGGCCCUCCGGCCUCCACCGCCGCCGCCGCCCCACACAGGGGCGCCGCCGCCCACGCCACGACCGCUUCCUGUGCCGCUACGACCACCGCCGCUGCCGCCACAACGAGCACCUCCACCCAGCUCUACCAAGAGCGGACUCACACUGCACACUCGGCGCCGUCCGCCGUGGUCACGGGCGGCCGCCGGGCCGGGGAGCACCACCGUCCCCCGCCCGCCGCCAAGAAAGGGGAGUCCCAGGAGACAGUGGUGGACUCUGGGAUUGAGGAGCUGGACAGCCGCAGCAGCAGCGACCAUCACCUGGACAGCAUCCUGGCUCUGAGCGGCGCCCGGGG
Molecule: long non-coding RNA, 1232 nt
Filed under: Salarias fasciatus (jewelled blenny)
Lineage: Eukaryota; Metazoa; Chordata; Actinopteri; Blenniiformes; Blenniidae
Description: lncRNA (ENSSFAG00005003173.1)
Source: RNAcentral